Long non-coding RNA from Helianthus annuus (common sunflower), 669 nucleotides. RefSeq lists it as uncharacterized. The transcript has 3 exons. The record is from RefSeq and is a predicted model, not a curated record. Lineage: Eukaryota; Viridiplantae; Streptophyta; Magnoliopsida; Asterales; Asteraceae.
CACACCAUCCCAUGUACCUUUGGCUAUUUGUUUACCUUACAACACUCAAAGCAAACCCCCACCAUUCCAUCUUACCAAAUUUGUACGUAACCAAGCUUCCUUCAUGCUUUAUAAAUAAAUACUUGGGUUACCAUUCACUUGCCAAAUCUGUAGUAGAUCUCUUUCGUGUCAAGUUCCAGGCGGAGACCGAUCACCGAAGCCCUACCGCCACCCACCACUUAUUCACCACCUUAACAACCAUGUGAACCAAGCUUGUUUCCUCCACCGUUAUUAUCGUAUAAAAAGAAACGGAACCACCCAAAAACCAAACCUUACCGCCGCCAUCGUGUUUUCUGAAGACUGCAACGACUCCGAGCACCGCCGCCACCGCACGUCUUUGCCACCGUACACAUCACCACGUCGCCAACUUCAAUCUCCGUUGUCCGCAGGUUGUCAUUGUUGAGUGAGGUGUUAUAGUUGCCCGAGUUGGAUCUACACAACCAAGGUUACAAGGAAUAUUCGGGAAGAUUUGGACGGAUGGCUCGAGGGAUUAAAGACGCACAUGGAUUUUUAAAAAGAUUUAUAGUGUUUUUUUUUUCUUACACUAUUUGACUUAUUUGAAAUAAUGUAAAGUUUUACAAUUUAUGGAAUGAUCUUCUGACCACUGAUACACUGUAUAAGUGGCAUGUC